CCUUGUCUUGUGCUGGGCCCCGUUCCUCAAAGCGAUCGUAGCUACAAUCAGUUGUAAGCCCUACGAUCAAAUUUACCAGUAUCGUAA
Molecule: long non-coding RNA, 87 nt
Filed under: Haliotis rubra (blacklip abalone)
Lineage: Eukaryota; Metazoa; Mollusca; Gastropoda; Lepetellida; Haliotidae
Description: uncharacterized LOC124259000
Source: RNAcentral